This is a long non-coding RNA of Brassica rapa (field mustard), 1761 nucleotides long. RefSeq lists it as uncharacterized. NCBI's taxonomy places the organism in Eukaryota, Viridiplantae, Streptophyta, Magnoliopsida, Brassicales, Brassicaceae. The record is from RefSeq and is a predicted model, not a curated record.
UUUCCUCCCUAUAUGUGAGGAUUGCUAAUUACACUAACCAAUCAACAUAUUGUUGUGGAGAAAGAGACGUAUAUCAGAUUGUAUUUAGCAGAGAAUUGUCAACUUUGGCACCGACGUUUUAGUAAUAAUAGCUGAGUGGGCUGAGUGCACAACAAACAAGGUACAUGUGCAUCUUAUCUCUUUCUUUACUCGUGUGUAUUUUAUCAAAGCUCAAAUUGAAACAUAACAUUUAUACAAAACCUAACAUUAUGCAUUUCUAACAGUUUAUUUGGUUGGUUCGUUUAACUGUACGUUUUUUUUCUGUAGAACGUGAAGUCCACCGUUGGACUUAUAAAUUUGUUUCACCUAAAACAUAUUAUUUUAUAUUAUAUUUAAAAUUCAUAGAAAUUAAUUUUUGUAAAACAUACCUACUAACCUAAGGAGAAAAAACGAUACAAGUUAAGCUAUGCAGUGCUAGUAUUAUCCAUUCAUAUGCUCUCCCUUCUUUGUCACUCUCCACAAUUGUAUAGGUUGUCCUUUGGGAUCGUAGUCUCGUGGAGUAUCCUCCGCGGUUGCGAAUGUGUAAGCAUGCGACUCUUUUGAUAGAGCUGAGCGUUUAGAGUGAUGCGUUGCAUUUUGGAGAAUGUUAUAUUGACUAUACAUUUGUGAACAAACUUUGUCAGUGUGCAGAUAGUUUGCUUCUGAUUAUGUAUAUGAAAAUGUUGGUAAUUUACGAUUUAUGUUGGAAAUUUAUGAUGUAUGCGUAUGAGUAAUAAGUCUACCGUUUUACCAAAAAAAAAAAAGUCUAGUAUCACCUUGUCUAUCAAUAUCUUAGCUAGCUAGCUAUCAAUUACACCUAUAGACACUUUUUGUCUUUGCAAUAACAACAUAAGACACUUCCUACUUGUCACACACUUCUGGUGUGGUGUUUGUCAAAUAUACCCUCGGACUAAAUCAAACUCUCGUUACUUCAGAUACCAAUCUCUUCUUUUUAUUGAUUUAUUUUUUCAAUUUAAAAAUGUAAAAUAAAAAAGCACUUUCCCAAUUGUGUUUUCGAAUCCUUAACUCUAAUUUUGACUAAACUUCAUUCAAGAUAGUGAUUCAGUGUUUGAACCCAAAUGAUCUCGUGUGGCCGUGCUCCAGCUCCUCCUCCUCGACCGCCGGUGAGCCACGCCAUGAAUUCCGAGCUCAAGAUCUUCGUGGAUGGCCGCCGGUGUUCGUUUUCUUCCGGGGAACAACAGAGUCAAGUGUGGUCCCAUCCAGAGAGCACAUUGUGAGCUUUCCCAAUCUGAUUCUACAAGAAACUCUGCUUUUGAACAAUUCAAGAACUCUGGAGGAUAUACAACGGAAAUGAGUAGUAUUGUGGUGACUGGACUUAGCACUCACACCUCUCCUGUUGAGAUGCAUGAGAAGCUUUCUAUCCAGAAGCUGAAUGACCACGAGCUAUUGGAUGAUGUGCUCAGUACUUGCAACUGUAUAGAGAUUUAUGUUUAACUCUUUCUCAGCAGUGUAGAAUUAAAGAAGUCACUGAAUAUAUAUCAAAGUGGAAGAGACAAAGUUACCAAGGGGAAGAAAAGUAACGAAGAAGCUGUUACAACACCAGUUACCAAAAGGAAGAAAGAUAACGAAUGACAAGCUUUAUGCAACAGAGAGCUCUGUAUCUCUUGCAAAUGGUUGUGACCCUCUAAUUGCAUCACUCUUUGUUCUAAGGGAUGACAAGCUGUUUGAUGGGAAUUUGAUUAUUAAUUCUAUAACUGAUCUUACUAAUAUACUUUCUAACUA